RNAcentral lists this transfer RNA (74 nucleotides) under Cronartium comandrae C4. RNAcentral describes it as "tRNA-Pro (TGG) (tRNA-Pro-TGG-7-1)". It matches the Rfam family "tRNA". Rfam says of the family: Transfer RNA (tRNA) molecules are approximately 80 nucleotides in length. Their secondary structure includes four short double-helical elements and three loops (D, anti-codon, and T loops). Lineage: Eukaryota; Fungi; Basidiomycota; Pucciniomycetes; Pucciniales; Coleosporiaceae. The record is from RNAcentral.
GUAUGCAUAGCUUAUAGUGGUUAGAGCAUCCCUCUGGAUUGAGGUGGUCAUGGGUUCAAAUCCCAUUGCACACA